Molecule: non-coding RNA, 268 nt
Organism: Pelobates cultripes (western spadefoot toad)
Lineage: Eukaryota; Metazoa; Chordata; Amphibia; Anura; Pelobatidae
Source: the annotation of a GenBank genome assembly
CACUGCCUUACCCAUUCAACAAUAUUUGAAUCCAAACUUAAAGAUUGCAGUUUAUUGAUAAGCCUUCUAUGUGCAACAGUGUCAAAAGCCUUACUGAAAUCUAGGUAAGCAAUGCCUACUGCACCACCCUGAUCUAUAGUUUUAGUUACCCAAUCAAAAAAAUCAAUAAGAUUAGUUUGGCAUGAUCUCCCUGAAGUAAACCCAUGUUGUCUCUGAUCUUGAAAUUCAUGUGUUUUUAGAUGUUCAUCAAUCCUAUCCUUUAACAUGG